UGCGACUACAGCAAACUUUAAGCUAUCAUAACAUAUAAAAACACAGGGAUUCAAGAAAAUGAAGCUCAAUUAAACAACACCCAAAGUUACUAAGAAUAAUUUUUCUCCCCCUCAAGUCCCACUUUCUACCUGCGAAUUUGGAGAGACAAAAAGAUGGAAAAUUUGCAGGAAAUUAUGCAAUAACAUGUUACCAUACAACAAGUUAAUAUUCUGAGCUGUAGAACUAAGGAAAUAGUCCAUCAGAUGUAACCUUCUAAAAAUCCGAGAGAAAAACUGAGCUAAAAUGCCUGUACCUCCACCAAAGAAUAUAAAGCAACUGUACCUCCACCAAAGAAUAUAAAGCAACUUCCGGAUUUAGUGGUCAUACAGAUCAUGCAAUAUUAUCAAAACAGACUUCAAGAAACUUAUCAAGAAUAUAGAUACUUUUUAUAGUUCUAAUACUUAGAAAUCCACCAGAGGGGGGUUACAGAGCCGUUAAUGCUUCAAUGACUUCAUUGAUGGAGAUUACAGAAAAUCCAACUGAAGUAGGUCAAGUGUCCAUAAAUAAUCUCACUCAAGAGAAGAACAUAUUACUAUAUCAAAUUUCAUGAUCUAGAUAGAUUAAAAUUUCCACCAACAAGACAAGAUUCAGUUAUUCUGCCUUGCUACGUUUAUCAAACUUGAAACAUACCUCUUCUUUGUUUUGUUCUAUGAUGCUUUUGUGUCCUAAGUUUCACUACUUGAUUCUCUUGCAUAGUCCUCCGCAGCUUUUCACUCAGUAUUCCAAAAGACUCCUCAAGGGCU
RNAcentral lists this long non-coding RNA (783 nucleotides) under Salvia miltiorrhiza (redroot sage). RNAcentral describes it as "long non-coding RNA (SMIL_LNC001100)". Lineage: Eukaryota; Viridiplantae; Streptophyta; Magnoliopsida; Lamiales; Lamiaceae. The record is from RNAcentral.